Molecule: ribosomal RNA, 759 nt
Filed under: uncultured Neisseriaceae bacterium
Lineage: Bacteria; Pseudomonadati; Pseudomonadota; Betaproteobacteria; Neisseriales; Neisseriaceae
Description: bacterial SSU rRNA
Rfam family: Bacterial small subunit ribosomal RNA
Source: RNAcentral
AUUGAACGCUGGCGGCAUGCUUUACACAUGCAAGUCGGACGGCAGCAUAAAAGAGCUUGCUCUUUUGAUGGCGAGUGGCGAACGGGUGAGUAAUGCAUCGGAACGUACCGAGUAGUGGGGGAUAACUGUCCGAAAGGAUGGCUAAUACCGCAUAUUCUCUGAGGAGGAAAGCAGGGGACCUUAGGGCCUUGCGCUAUUUGAGCGGCCGAUGUCUGAUUAGCUAGUUGGUGGGGUAAGAGCCCACCAAGGCGACGAUCAGUAGCGGGUCUGAGAGGAUGAUCCGCCACACUGGGACUGAGACACGGCCCAGACUCCUACGGGAGGCAGCAGUGGGGAAUUUUGGACAAUGGGCGCAAGCCUGAUCCAGCCAUGCCGCGUGUAUGAAGAAGGCCUUCGGGUUGUAAAGUACUUUUGUCAGGGAAGAAAAACCUGAGGAUAACACCCUCAGGUCAUGACGGUACCUGAAGAAUAAGCACCGGCUAACUACGUGCCAGCAGCCGCGGUAAUACGUAGGGUGCGAGCGUUAAUCGGAAUUACUGGGCGUAAAGCGAGCGCAGACGGUUAUUUAAGCAAGAUGUGAAAGCCCCGGGCUCAACCUGGGAACUGCGUUUUGAACUGGGUAACUAGAGUGUGUCAGAGGGGGGUAGAAUUCCACGUGUAGCAGUGAAAUGCGUAGAGAUGUGGAGGAAUACCGAUGGCGAAGGCAGCCCCCUGGGAUAACACUGACGUUCAUGCUCGAAAGCGUGGGUAGCAAACAGG